This is a non-coding RNA of Cinara cedri, 212 nucleotides long. NCBI's taxonomy places the organism in Eukaryota, Metazoa, Arthropoda, Insecta, Hemiptera, Aphididae. The record is from the annotation of a GenBank genome assembly.
AAAGGGAAAACUAUUUUUUUUAUAAAACACAUCACACGCAUCAUUGUAAUAUGUAUAAUACGUUAGUAUGCUUUCCGCAUGUGUCGUCUCGACCUCGAAAAAAAAUAAGAAAAUUAGCAAACUGUUGAUUUAAUUGGAUGUUGCUCUAUAGCUGUUAAUCAAUUAAUUAAAUUUGUGUCUCACACAUGGAAAAAAUAACGAUUAGACUGCAG